RNAcentral lists this ribosomal RNA (1051 nucleotides) under Sordariomycetes sp. genotype csw031. Its description in RNAcentral is "eukaryotic LSU rRNA". The stretch from base 527 to 1051 matches the Rfam family "Eukaryotic large subunit ribosomal RNA", at positions 1 to 533 of the family's 3401-position model. Lineage: Eukaryota; Fungi; Ascomycota; Sordariomycetes. The record is from RNAcentral.
CAUUACGAGAGAGUUGCAAAACUCCCUAAAACCCUUUGUGAACCUCACCCGUUCUAUAGUUUAGUGUCUUCGGCGGGUUGCCCCAGGGGGGGCCUCGUGCCGUCAGGCGCCCGCCAGAGGACACAACCCAAACUCUUUUAUGGCGUCUGCCACUGUUAUCUGAUUAUAUAAAAUAAAUAAAUUAAAACUUUCAACAACGGAUCUCUUGGUUCUGGCAUCGAUGAAGAACGUAGCGAACUACGAUAAGUAAUGUGAAUUGCAGAAUUCAGUGAAUCAUCGAAUCUUUGAACGCACAUUGCGCCCACCAGCACUCUGGUGGGCAUGCCUGUUCGAGCGUCAUUUUCCACCCUCAAGCCCUUACGGGAUUGGUGUUGGGGCUCUUCUACGGCGGGGACCUCCCCCUGUAGGCCCUUAAAGUCAGUGGCGGGCUCGCUAGCACUCCGGGCGUAGUAGCUUUUACACGUCGCCUAGGGGGUCUGGCGGGUGACCAGCCGUAAAACCGCGACUCCGGUUGCACACCUAAGGUUGACCUCGGAUCAGGUAGGAAUACCCGCUGAACUUAAGCAUAUCAAUAAGCGGAGGAAAAGAAACCAACAGGGAUUGCCCUAGUAACGGCGAGUGAAGCGGCAACAGCUCAAAUUUGAAAUCUGGCCCUCUGGGUCCGAGUUGUAAUUUGUAGAGGAUGCUUUUGGCGCGGCGCCUUCCGAGUUCCCUGGAACGGGACGCCAUAGAGGGUGAGAGCCCCGUACGGCUGGAUGCCAAACCUUUGUAAAGCUCCUUCGACGAGUCGAGUAGUUUGGGAAUGCUGCUCAAAAUGGGAGGUAAAUUCCUUCUAAAGCUAAAUACCGGCCAGAGACCGAUAGCGCACAAGUAGAGUGAUCGAAAGAUGAAAAGCACUUUGAAAAGAGGGUUAAAUAGUACGUGAAAUUGUUGAAAGGGAAGCGCCUGUGACCAGACUUGGUCCCGGCGGAUCAUCCGGCGUUCUCCGCCGGUGCACUCCGCCGGGCUCCAGGCCAGCAUCGGUUCUCCCAGGGGGAUAAAAGCCGCGGGA